AAGCGUCGUAGUUGAAUUUCGGGGUUAGUAGGUUGGUCAUGCCUCUGGUAUGUACUGGUCUCACUGAUUCCUCCUUCCUUAUGAACCGUAAUGCCAUUAAUUUGGUGUUGCGGGGAAUUUGGACUGUUACUUUGAAAAAAUUAGAGUGUUUAAAGCAAGCUAACGCUUGAAUACAUUAGCAUGGAAUAAUGAAAUAGGACGUUCGAUCCUAUUUUGUUGGUUUCUAGGACUGACGUAAUGAUUAAUAGGGAUAGUUGGG
This 259-nucleotide ribosomal RNA is filed under the name uncultured Glomus. RNAcentral describes it as "partial 18S ribosomal RNA". It matches the Rfam family "Eukaryotic small subunit ribosomal RNA", at positions 628 to 886 of the family's 1831-position model. The record is from RNAcentral. Lineage: Eukaryota; Fungi; Glomeromycota; Glomeromycetes; Glomerales; Glomeraceae.